GCUCUGCUGAGGAGUCCCAUACCAGGACGAAACGGCCGUCCAGUGC
Molecule: non-coding RNA, 46 nt
Organism: Schistosoma margrebowiei
Lineage: Eukaryota; Metazoa; Platyhelminthes; Trematoda; Strigeidida; Schistosomatidae
Source: Rfam